GCAUCCAUAUUUCAGCUGGAUAAAGUACUCGGCUACGAACCGAGCGGUCGGAGGUUAGAGUCCUUCCGGGAUGUG
This 75-nucleotide transfer RNA is filed under the name Arsenophonus endosymbiont of Bemisia tabaci Q2. RNAcentral's name for it is "tRNA-Arg". The record is from RNAcentral. Lineage: Bacteria; Pseudomonadati; Pseudomonadota; Gammaproteobacteria; Enterobacterales; Morganellaceae.